CUGUCAGUCACUCAGCCAGCCGCCGCCAGUGAGUCAUUCAGUUAUAUCCAGGAACCCAGCUUGUUUUCAAUCCCGACGGAUAAGUUAACAAAGCGCACAGACCACAGAGCUUGGAGCACACACCGUACCUGGGAGACAGGAGCAGUGGGGAGAAUGGUCUGCGGAAGCGCGCUUUCUUCGAGCUUUGCGCUAAGCCACUUUUGUGUGGUCCACGGACGCACCGAAGAUGCCCCAUUCAGGCCACACUGCAUUAAUGGGCAUGGGCGACAUUUCCCACUUACGAUUGCAGGCAUAUUAUGAAAAAUGCACAAUGUGCCAUCAACACACCGAGCUUAGAAGGAUGAAAGGGGCGAUGAUGGUGAAGGGGGAAUCCCAACGACGACUGUAACGACGUCAUCAGUGUUCUCGGUUGUCUCGAAACGCCCCCGUAGUCAUCAGCUUAAAGUUUUCUAGGCAGCCAGCAAAAGACGAAGACGCAGCAGGAUAAAGGACUCAGGACAACGCGGAAGGACACGGCAGCACGGACGAAACGCAACAAAGCCGUCACAGAUGAAGCACAAGGAGCAGAAAGGACCGGCGAAGGCGGCAGAUACAGAAAGGGCAGCAGUAACUCCUUAACACACUUACAUAAGAGUACACUGAACAAAACUGAAGCAAAAAGUUUAUAUAGAACUAGCUAGUGUUUGUUUAAGUUCCUGAUAGAAUUUUUCUAUCUAUAAGUAAAUAGCCUACCUAUGGACCUUGAAGUUUAUACUUAGUUCUUGAAGUUGAGUUCUUUUUUUCGCUGUGCACUUGACAAACUCACACGCGGCGGCUCAGGCGAAGGCAAUGACAAUACAAACAUCGAGUAACAGGGAAAAAUGGUCAAAACGGCGCAAGGACGAGCUUGGCAAAGAGUUACGGCUCCUGCUCCUUCGGUCUUCGUCCUGGUCCUGGUCCUGGUCCUGGAUGAGAGAGGAGCAUCGUAAACCGGCGACGGCAACAUGAAAAUCUUGUCAUAUUUUUCUUGUUUACUGUCAACAUCUUUGUACUUGAAGUCCCAUUAUGUUAAUUAUGAUGAAGUAAACAGGA
Non-coding RNA from Drosophila melanogaster (fruit fly), 1071 nucleotides. Lineage: Eukaryota; Metazoa; Arthropoda; Insecta; Diptera; Drosophilidae. The record is from Ensembl.